GGAGCAUAGCCAUACAUGCAUCAUACAAGGUAAUCUCAGUUCCACACUUCCCUGCAUUAGAAGUGGCAUAUUACUUACUACAUUAUUAGUACAGCAAACCACACUCAGAUGAUUGCAAGUAUAUUAAGUCUGGCAUAAGUUUUCUCUUUUGUGAUUCUCUUGUUCUUUAACCCAAAUCACAUGCUCGGCUUCACAUUCAGGCGACUGGCCAGCUUCUGACCGAGAGACCUGUCAGCCUGGGACCAAUAGGAGAUCCAUAUGCUACUGAUUUCAUGGGUGACCCGUGGAUCAGACAGGGCGUCAACCCACCUGCGGAUAAAGCGCUCUUGCCUGUCAGGAUCAAAGG
RNAcentral lists this unclassified non-coding RNA (346 nucleotides) under Hevea brasiliensis (rubber tree). The record is from RNAcentral. Lineage: Eukaryota; Viridiplantae; Streptophyta; Magnoliopsida; Malpighiales; Euphorbiaceae.